This 1005-nucleotide ribosomal RNA is filed under the name Triticum aestivum (bread wheat). RNAcentral's name for it is "partial small subunit ribosomal RNA". The record is from RNAcentral. Lineage: Eukaryota; Viridiplantae; Streptophyta; Magnoliopsida; Poales; Poaceae.
AUGGCGCCCGUGGCGGGCAGCAGCUUCUUCCAGGAAGCGCGGCUGCCGGAGCAGCGGGCCGUCGAGGGCGUCGCCUUCCCCGCGGUGCUCGUCCCGGCCGGCGGGCCCCCGGGGCCGGGGGAGGGGAGCCUCGACGAGUUCCUGGCGACCGUGCGGUCGGAGCGGGCGUCCCGGGUGGAGCCGCUGCUGCGGGAGGCAGGGGCGGUGCUGCUGCGCGGGUUCCCCGCGCGGACGGCGGCGGACUUCGACGCCGCCGUGGAGGCGUUCGGGUACGAGGAGCUUCCCUACGUCGGCGGCGCGGCGCCCCGGACCAACGUGGUGGGGCGGGUGUUCACCGCCAACGAGUCGCCGCCCGACCAGAAGAUCCCCUUCCACCAUGAGAUGGCGCAGGUUCCAACUUUUCCGGCGAAACUCUUCUUCUUCUGUGAGGUGGAACCAAAAAGUGGUGGAGAGACACCAAUAGUGCUGAGCCACUAUGUGUACAAGAGGAUGAAGGAAAACUUCCCUGAAUUUGUGGAGAAACUGGAGAAGCAUGGCCUGAUAUACACAAGGGUAUUGGGAGAGGGUGACGACCCAUCUUCUCCAAUCGGCCGUGGAUGGCAAUCCACAUUUCUCACUAAAGAUAAAGCCGUCGCCGAGGAAAGGGCUGUGAAGCUUGGGAUGAAGCUGGAAUGGACCGACAACGGGGUUAAAACAGUGAUGGGUCCGAUACCAGCAGUCAAGUGGGACGAGAGCCGAGGGAGGAAGAUAUGGUUCAACAGCAUGGUCGCCGCCUACACGGGUUGGAAGGACGCUCGUAACGAUCCAGUUAAGGCCGUCACCUUCGGCGAUGGCUCGCCCUUGCCCGCCGAUGUCAUAGAGGAAUGCGGCAAGAUCCUAGAAGAGGAAUGCGUCGCGGUCCCGUGGCAGCAAGGUGACAUCCUUCUCAUCGACAACUGGGCAGUGCUGCACUCACGACGGUCCUUUGAGCCCCCACGGCGCGUACUUGCUUCUCUCUGUAAAUAG